This 476-nucleotide ribosomal RNA is filed under the name uncultured bacterium. RNAcentral's name for it is "bacterial SSU rRNA". It matches the Rfam family "Bacterial small subunit ribosomal RNA", at positions 28 to 507 of the family's 1533-position model. The record is from RNAcentral.
GACGAACGCUGGCGGCGUGCUUAAGACAUGCAAGUCGAGCGCUCCUGAAACAUCGAGGCUUCGGCCUCACCGUUUCAGGGGAGCGGCGGACGGGUGAGUAACGCGUGGGCAACCUGCCCGGGAGACUGGGAUAACACCCCGAAAGGGGUGCUAAUACCGGAUACGAUCCCCCAUCGCAUGGUGGGGGGAUGAAAGGCGAAAGUCACUCCCGGAUGGGCCCGCGUCCCAUUAGCUAGUUGGUGGGGUAACAGCCUACCAAGGCUACGAUGGGUAGCCGGCCUGAGAGGGUGGCCGGCCACACUGGGACUGAGAUACGGCCCAGACUCCUACGGGAGGCAGCAGUCGGGAAUCUUGCGCAAUGGGCGAAAGCCUGACGCAGCGACGCCGCGUGGGGAGGAAGGCUUUCGGGUGUAAACCCCUGUCUUCGGGGACGAAAUCUGACGGUACCCGAGGAGGAAGCCCCGGCUAACUACGUG